UAGGGCGUCGAGGUCAGAGGCCGUUCGUGCUUGCACGGUAAGGCAGAUGACUUUGGCACCCGCCAAACAUGAGAAAGCAGCGAUUUACGAAGUAAAUCUGCGGAUUUCGAAUGGUUGUAGAAUUGCGAGAGCUGUUUGGCAGCGAAGCAAUUCGUAGGUGU
RNAcentral lists this small RNA (161 nucleotides) under human gut metagenome. RNAcentral's name for it is "Clostridiales-1 RNA". It matches the Rfam family "Clostridiales-1 RNA". The record is from RNAcentral.